This 253-nucleotide ribosomal RNA is filed under the name uncultured bacterium. RNAcentral's name for it is "partial 16S ribosomal RNA". It matches the Rfam family "Bacterial small subunit ribosomal RNA", at positions 524 to 776 of the family's 1533-position model. The record is from RNAcentral.
UACAGAGGGGGCAAGCGUUGUCCGGAAUUACUGGGCGUACAGCGCGCGCAGGCGGUUGUUCACGUGCCGUGUGACAAACGGGGGCUUAACCCCCGCGGGCCAUGGUAGACGGGACGACUGGAGGCAGGGAGAGGGAUGUGGAAUUCCAGGUGUAGCGGUGAAAUGCGUAGAUAUCUGGAGGAACACCGGUGGCGAAGGCGGCAUCCCGGACCGGUAUUGACGCUGAGGAGCGAAAGCCAGGGGAGCAAACGGG